Molecule: unclassified non-coding RNA, 1904 nt
Filed under: Hevea brasiliensis (rubber tree)
Lineage: Eukaryota; Viridiplantae; Streptophyta; Magnoliopsida; Malpighiales; Euphorbiaceae
Source: RNAcentral
GCCCGAGGCAAAUGCUCACUCAUCCUCCAAUCACAUUCCAACUCAUCUGUUUUUUGCAUGCCGUACAAAAUUCACCAGCCGACACUUGUAAGUCCUGCCAAAAAUAACCGAUCCCCCACAAGGACAUUUCGGUCAAACUAAAAAGGCCAAGCCAAUCCUGAUAGGUGUGUCCACGCAUGGUACCCAACUCCACACGCGUUAUAAAGAUGGGUCAUUUCCUAUUGGUGGCAUGACAGGCAAAACACAGAGUGAGGCCUCUCAACUGACACAGCUCACCUGUCAAUGCUACUGUCCAUUCAUCCGAAAUGUGUUGCCAUGCAUGGACCCAGUACAAUGCUCAAAUCCCACAUGCUCCUUUCCCUAAACCUCUCAUACACGUACCCACCGUACAUUUUCCAAGUGUCACCCUCUCGUGCCUCCUUGCUUCACGUUGCCUUUCUCUCAUUGGCUCUAUCCCUCUCUUUAAACCCCCACCUCAACAAAUCAUUCCUCUCGCUCUUUUUACACACACCAUUUCCCCCAUUCUUUCACCUCUCCCGUCUCGUCCUACCUACCCUUCGCCAUUUUCUUUCUCCUACCAUUUUCUAAGCUUCACAAUGAUCAAGACCCUGAGUCCCUACUCCACUGCAAAAACAGCUGAGAUUAUGUCUAGGUACAGGCCCAUAGCACCAAAGCCUGAGCUUCCUGCCAACUCCUUGGGUGACACCCCGUCAAUGUCUCAGAAGAUUAGGCAAUCUCCUUAUCUCAGGAAUCUCUGGCCUCAAUUGCAAGCCAGGCCUACUAGAACCAGAAAGAGAGGCAGAGCUGCCAUGUCUCCUCCCACCAUCAAAAGGCCGAGAACCCAUUUUCUUGGCCUUUCCUCUCCUAGUCAUUUACUAUCCCCUGCCAGACAUCUCUCCUUGCAAGGUUUUGCUCAUGGUAUUCCCCAGCUUCCUGUUCCCAACCUCGCUGGCGUUAAUAGCAGCUUGGAAAAUCCAGUCACAACUGCUUCAGAUUUGGUGACGCUUCCUCUUCUUCCAUAUCAGUCAUCGGUUCCUGUUGAUGGUAACAAACCAACAGCACGUGAAAUAAGUUGCAUAGAACCACGUAGAGAGGUCAUAGAUUUGAACACUACUGUGGCUGAAAUCCCAGAAGAGAAGGAUCUCUUGCAGCAAUUACAAGAAACUCUCACCGGCAAUAUUAUAACACCUCAGCCAAUUCGACCAGUUGGCUCAAGCAUAAGCGUUGGGUGCAUCAGUGAAGACCCAAGCUCAACCCCACCAGUGCAACUUCCAAAGAAGCCAGAGGAGGUUGAGGAAGAAGUCGAGUCUGAGGCCUUGCCAGCCGUGAUAUCUGAUUCCAACUACAAAGUGAGGCUGGCAAAUUCUGCCUAUAAAGAAAUGGUGGGACAACCAGAGUGCUCGUGGCUCGACUUGAUGGUGAUGGGCGAUGGCAGGUUUGGAGGUAGCUCAAGCAAAAGGAUCUGUGGAGAGGUGAAGCUUCAUCUUGCUGAUUCAAAGGUGCCCACUUCUUCAAAUGGAUUUUCAUGCUGGGUGAGAAUAGAAUGGGGACAUGAGGGGAAGAAGAAAGCCAUCAAUGCUUUUUGUGAUGUUAUCAGAUUGUCCUGCGAGUCCAAGGAUUACCUCUUCACCUGGAGGUUCCACGCUCAUAACAGGGAGGGCUCCGAGUCCAGCAACACUGCUUGAAUGCCUAAUUGUAUAAAGCAGUUCACUAGAAAACGUAUCUUGCUUGAAUACUUAAUUGUAUAAAGUAGUUCACUAGAGCACGUAUCUGAUCUACUAUGUAUACAUAAGAACACAUCAGGUAUAUGUACAGUUUUUGUUAGCUUUUCAGUUAAAAGUCAAAUUCUGUAGAAGAUAAUUUGCCUUUCUUGUGUACUACGCUUGGGGCAGGGGUGGUUACAG